GUGGGGAAUCUUCCGCAAUGGACGAAAGUCUGACGGAGCAACGCCGCGUGAGUGAAGAAGGUUUUCGGAUCGUAAAGCUCUUUCGUUAGGGACGAACGUGCUCUUUGUGAAUAAUGAGGAGUAAUGACGGUACCUAAAUAAGAAGCCACGGCUAACUACGUGCCAGCAGCCGCGGUAAUACGUAGGUGGCAAGCGUUGUCCGGAAUUAUUGGGCGUAAAGCGCGCGCAGGCGGGAUAUCAAGUCUGUCUUAAAAGUGCGAGGCUCAACCUCGUGAGGGGACAGAAACUGGUAUUCUUGAGUGUCGGAGAGGAAAGUGGAAUUCCAAGUGUAGCGGUGAAAUGCGUAGAGAUUUGGAAGAACACCAGUGGCGAAGGCGACUUUCUGGACUGUAACUGACGCUGAGGCUCGAAAGCCAGGGGAGCGAACGGGAUUAGAAACCCGAGUAGUCC
RNAcentral lists this ribosomal RNA (450 nucleotides) under uncultured bacterium. Its description in RNAcentral is "partial 16S ribosomal RNA". It matches the Rfam family "Bacterial small subunit ribosomal RNA", at positions 354 to 796 of the family's 1533-position model. The record is from RNAcentral.